UACGAAGGGGGCUAGCGUUGUUCGGAAUUACUGGGCGUAAAGCGCGCGCAGGCGGCCUUUCAAGUCAGGGGUGAAAGCCCGGAGCUCAACUCCGGAAUUGCCUUUGAAACUGUCAGGCUCGAGUACGGGAGAGGUGAGUGGAAUUCCCAGUGUAGAGGUGAAAUUCGUAGAUAUUGGGAGGAACACCGGUGGCGAAGGCGGCUCACUGGCCCGUUUCUGACGCUCAGGCGCGACAGCGUGGGGAUCAAACAGG
This 253-nucleotide ribosomal RNA is filed under the name uncultured bacterium. Its description in RNAcentral is "partial 16S ribosomal RNA". It matches the Rfam family "Bacterial small subunit ribosomal RNA", at positions 524 to 776 of the family's 1533-position model. The record is from RNAcentral.